AGAGUUUGAUCAUGGCUCAGAUUGAACGCUGGCGGCAGGCUUAACACAUGCAAGUCGAGCGGUAACAUUUCUAGCUUGCUAGAAGAUGACGAGCGGCGGACGGGUGAGUAAUGCUUGGGAAUAUGCCUUAUGGUGGGGGACAACAGUUGGAAACGACUGCUAAUACCGCAUAACGUCUACGGACCAAAGGGGGGGAUCUUCGGACCUCUCGCCAUUUGAUUAGCCCAAGUGAGAUUAGCUAGUUGGUGAGGUAAAGGCUCACCAAGGCGACGAUCUCUAGCUGGUUUGAGAGGAUGAUCAGCCACACUGGGACUGAGACACGGCCCAGACUCCUACGGGAGGCAGCAGUGGGGAAUAUUGCACAAUGGGCGAAAGCCUGAUGCAGCCAUGCCGCGUGUGUGAAGAAGGCCUUCGGGUUGUAAAGCACUUUCAGUUGUGAGGAAAGGUGGUAGUUUAAUAUGCUAUUACUGUGACGUUAACAACAGAAGAAGCACCGGCUAACUUCGUGCCAGCAGCCGCGGUAAUACGAGGGGUGCAAGCGUUAAUCGGAAUUAUUGGGCGUAAAGCGUUCGUAGGCGGUCUAUUAAGCAAGAUGUGAAAGCCCAGGGCUCAACCUUGGAACUGCAUUUUGAACUGGUAGACUAGAGUACUGUAGAGGGUGGUGGAAUUUCCAGUGUAGCGGUGAAAUGCGUAGAGAUUGGAAGGAACAUCAGUGGCGAAGGCGGCCACCUGGACAGAUACUGACGCUGAGGAACGAAAGCGUGGGGAGCGAACAGGAUUAGAUACCCUGGUAGUCCACGCCGUAAACGAUGUCAACUAGCCGUUCGUGGACUUGAUCCGUGAGUGGCGCAGCUAACGCACUAAGUUGACCGCCUGGGGAGUACGGCCGCAAGGUUAAAACUCAAAGGAAUUGACGG
Molecule: ribosomal RNA, 917 nt
Filed under: uncultured bacterium
Lineage: Bacteria
Description: bacterial SSU rRNA
Rfam family: Bacterial small subunit ribosomal RNA
Source: RNAcentral